GGGGUUGUGGCUCAGUGGUAGAGUACUUGCCUAGAAUGCAUGAGGCACUGGGUUCAAUCUCCAGCACCA
Molecule: transfer RNA, 69 nt
Filed under: Ictidomys tridecemlineatus (thirteen-lined ground squirrel)
Lineage: Eukaryota; Metazoa; Chordata; Mammalia; Rodentia; Sciuridae
Description: Spermophilus tridecemlineatus (thirteen-lined ground squirrel) tRNA
Rfam family: tRNA
About the family: Transfer RNA (tRNA) molecules are approximately 80 nucleotides in length. Their secondary structure includes four short double-helical elements and three loops (D, anti-codon, and T loops).
Source: Rfam by way of RNAcentral